Molecule: long non-coding RNA, 1368 nt
Organism: Rhagoletis zephyria (snowberry fruit fly)
Lineage: Eukaryota; Metazoa; Arthropoda; Insecta; Diptera; Tephritidae
Source: RefSeq, a predicted model, not a curated record
UCGUACGCCAACAGAACAGAAUAGCGCCAGGCGACAGCCGACAACCGACGCAGCAGCAAGUCAAACGCGCUGGAUGGAUGGAGUCUUGUUCAGGCAGAGUCAAGUUUACUCAGUCAAUUGUCGAGUCAGUUUAAGUUUGGCAACGUUCGUAGUUGGACGUGUGUUUUUGUGUAACGGAAUGUUAGGGCAACUGCGCCGCGCUCAACCACAGUUUGGAAUGUUGACACUCUGUUUGAUUUCGUUAAAUACCUACUAAAUGUAUAAGAUACAAAUUGUAAAUUUUGUGUGUGGAUUUGAAUAAUUAUUCUAAAGUGCGCUUUUAAAUGCUAGUGGCAGUGUAACGCCAUUUGCCAUUGAAUUCGAUAAACGCUGUGUGGUGUGGUGGUGACGCAGCGUAAAAAGGUGUUGCAAGACAUUGGUAGCAACAGCCACCGAGCGAGUUAUGUACGUACUAUAAAGUGAGUGCGCCAGUUAGUUGACGAGCGAGUAACAACAUUUGAAAAUACAUUGAAACCGGUUUGUUUGUCUUUUGCUCAAAAUCACCAGAGAACCAGUGUUUUGUCUGCACUUCGUGUUAAAAAAUCCCAGCAAGCCAAUUUUUAUUGCAACCUGAAUGUGACUGACUGAUAUUUUUAGAGGUGAGAAACUUAUUAAACUCAAUGAAAUAUUUUAAAUAGAGAGAUACUGCAAAACUCGCACAUGAUACGAGUAUCAAUCGUACAUAAAUGCAAAGCUAAAAGAUUAAAGGAAAUGCUCUAAGGAAAAUGCCACAACUCCGUGCAGCUUAGCUAAUAAUUUUCAAUAUGCCCUUUACUUAAUGCCAAUGAAGUGCACAAAUAGAAUGCACAACGCUAAUAAAUUCAAUUCAAUGCAGCAUGCGCAGCACGCCCACGCAACGCAGAAUCGCCACGCAUCAUUGGCAGACAAACAAACACACCCGUAGUGCAUUGACUGCCAUAUCGCGCAUAGUAAUUGAAGCGAAGCCACGGAAAUAAUCCUAUCAGCAAGCGAACGAUAAGUACACACACACACUCACACACAGGCAUUAGCAAAUCAAGCAACUAACGCAGACAAGUCACCAACUAGUACUAACGUACAUAAACGUCCGUCCGUCCGUCCAUGCGCGCGCUGUUUACAUUGGCAAGUUAUUACAGCCACCAGAACAACAACAGCAGCAACAACAACUAAGUAAUAUCCGAACUACUGCUGGGCGGCAGCUCAAUCACGGAAGUAACAAACGCAAAACGCGCUCCUUCUUCUUCCGCGCCAAGCGUCUCCACAUCCGUUUGCUGCUGUGCUGCUGUCCUGUUUGACUCGCGCGCCAGCUAGCGCAUAGCGAAAAGGAGUAAUCGAAAAGAAAAAAAAAAA